AAACAAACGCUUAAAUAUAGAGACAAAGCUGCAUUUUGGUCGUUUUGUUGUACGCUUUUCCGUCUUUCUUUUUUUUAUGGAAGGUAUGGGAUGGCCUGGAAGAGCAACAGACACCGCGGCGACUGCCAUUCUUUCUGCUGAAAUCAGGGAUUUUCAUUGUGAACUAAAACUGUGAUAAUUUUGGAUUGGUACAUUUACGACCGUAAACUAGAAGUGGAGCGGAUGCGAUUCUGUGUCGUCAAGUGGCCCCGAUGCUUAGAUCGAUUCAGAAUCUCCAGUGCUAAUCGACAAAGACUCAGCGUUCAAGUGGUCGCCGAUGCAGCAUUUCGGAUGUUUGUUGAUACUAUGUUUUAGCGUUUAAGUGGGCCGCAACAAUGUACUUGGUGAUAUAUAGUUACUGGUACCGUAGCAGGUGUAGCUAUAGUGGGUGUGAAGGUGGCAUGUGGUGUAGUCUCUGGUGUGAAAAUUGUUGUGUUCUUUGGGAAACAUGCGACGACAAAUACUACUAUCAGUAGUAUAUCGAGCAUCGUCUGUUGUAUUCCCAACUGGUGGGUUGUCCUGUUUCUCUUAAUCGUCUCUACCCGAGGUAUGUCCAACAUCAAUUCUUCUGUGCCAAGCCUCUCCACCGCUUCGUAUUGUACGUUGUACACCAUCGCCUUGCAAUGGGUGAAUGUUUUGUCGACUCCGAAAUCCGUCU
Molecule: long non-coding RNA, 697 nt
Filed under: Drosophila melanogaster (fruit fly)
Lineage: Eukaryota; Metazoa; Arthropoda; Insecta; Diptera; Drosophilidae
Description: long non-coding RNA:CR46450 (Dmel_CR46450)
Source: RNAcentral